CGACUAUAUAAGUAGAAGAGCAGACCGCCUCCUGUACCCGACCUCCAAACAGUUGGAAAACAUCAGGAAAGUCCGACAUACAAAAAUGAAGGUUUCCGUUGUGUUGCUGCUGUUCGCCCUGGUGGCUACCAGCCUCGCUAGCUUCUACUACCCACCUAGGAUCGCGAAGGUCCUCGUCAUUCCUAAAUACGGCUAUGGAGGCUAUGGAGGCUACGGUGGCUAUGGAGGAUAUGGAGGCUAUGGAGGCUACGGUGGUUUGGGAGGCCUCGGCGGAUUCGGCGGCAUUGGAGGCUUUGGCGGCUUUGGCGGCCUCGGCGGUUACGGCGGUUACGGAGGUUACGGACGUGGAGUAAUUGGAGUUGGAACUGUCGGCAUCCUUGGCGGUGGUCUAGGUAUUGGCGGAGGUUUUGGAUUUGGUGGUGGUCAUGGGGGCAAAUACUAAUGACCUUACUGAUGGACCACAAAGUCGUGUCUCAAAUACUAGGUCAUGGAAACGUACAUUCAUAGCCAAUCUACAAAAAUGCUGUCAUACUUCAAUUAAUAAAGUUUUGAAAUAUU
This 558-nucleotide long non-coding RNA is filed under the name Pomacea canaliculata. RNAcentral describes it as "uncharacterized LOC112577027". The record is from RNAcentral. Lineage: Eukaryota; Metazoa; Mollusca; Gastropoda; Architaenioglossa; Ampullariidae.